ACGUAGGGUGCGAGCGUUGUCCGGAAUUAUUGGGCGUAAAGGGCUCGUAGGCGGUUUGUCACGUCAGGAGUGAAAACUCGGGGCUUAACCCCGAGCCUGCUUCUGAUACGGGCAGACUAGAGGUAUGCAGGGGAGAGCGGAAUUCCUGGUGUAGCGGUGAAAUGCGCAGAUAUCAGGAGGAACACCGGUGGCGAAGGCGGUUCUCUGGGCAUUACCUGACGCUGAGGAGCGAAAGUGUGGGGAGCGAACAGGA
RNAcentral lists this ribosomal RNA (253 nucleotides) under uncultured prokaryote. Its description in RNAcentral is "partial 16S ribosomal RNA". It matches the Rfam family "Bacterial small subunit ribosomal RNA", at positions 525 to 777 of the family's 1533-position model. The record is from RNAcentral.